GGGACGCAGUAGGAUAGGCGAAGCGUGCGAUUGGAUUGCACGUCUAAGCAGUAAGGCUGAGUAUUAGGCAAAUCCGGUACUCGUUAAGGCUGAGCUGUGAUGGGGAGAAGACAUUGUGUCUUCGAGUCGUUGAUUUCACACUGCCGAGAAAAGCCUCUAGAUAGAAAAUAGGUGCCCGUACCGCAAACCGACACAGGUAGUCAAGAUGAGAAUUCUAAGGUGAGCGAGCGAACUCUCGUUAAGGAACUCGGCAAAAUGACCCCGUAACUUCGGGAGAAGGGGUGCUCUUUAGGGUUAACGCCCAGAAGAGCCGCAGUGAAUAGGCCCAAGCGACUGUUUAUCAAAAACACAGGUCUCUGCUAAACCGUAAGGUGAUGUAUAGGGGCUGACGCCUGCCCGGUGCUGGAAGGUUAAGAGGAGUGGUUAGCUUCUGCGAAGCUACGAAUCGAAGCCCCAGUAAACGGCGGCCGUAACUAUAACGGUCCUAAGGUAGCGAAAUUCCUUGUCGGGUAAGUUCCGACCCGCACGAAAGGCGUAACGAUUUGGGCACUGUCUCAACGAGAGACUCGGUGAAAUCAUAGUACCUGUGAAGAUGCAGGUUACCCGCGACAGGACGGAAAGACCCCGUGGAGCUUUACUGUAGCCUGAUAUUGAAAUUCGGCACAGCUUGUACAGGAUAGGUAGGAGCCUUUGAAACGUGAGCGCUAGCUUACGUGGAGGCGCUGGUGGGAUACUACCCUAGCUGUGUUGGCUUUCUAACCCGCACCACUUAUCGUGGUGGGAGACAGUGUCAGGCGGGCAGUUUGACUGGGGCGGUCGCCUCCUAAAAGGUAACGGAGGCGCUCAAAGGUUCCCUCAGAAUGGUUGGAAAUCAUUCAUAGAGUGUAAAGGCAUAAGGGAGCUUGACUGCGAGACCUACAAGUCGAGCAGGGUCGAAAGACGGACUUAGUGAUCCGGUGGUUCCGCAUGGAAGGGCCAUCGCUCAACGGAUAAAAGCUACCCCGGGGAUAACAGGCUUAUCUCCCCCAAGAGUUCACAUCGACGGGGAGGUUUGGCACCUCGAUGUCGGCUCAUCGCAUCCUGGGGCUGUAGUCGGUCCCAAGGGUUGGGCUGUUCGCCCAUUAAAGCGGUACGCGAGCUGGGUUCAGAACGUCGUGAGACAGUUCGGUCCCUAUCCGUCGUGGGCGUAGGAAAUUUGAGAGGAGCUGUCCUUAGUACGAGAGGACCGGGAUGGACAUACCUCUGGUGUACCAGUUGUCGUGCCAACGGCAUAGCUGGGUAGCUAUGUGUGGACGGGAUAAGUGCUGAAAGCAUCUAAGCAUGAAGCCCCCCUCAAGAUGAGAUUUCCCAACUUCGGUUAUAAGAUCCCUCAAAGAUGAUGAGG
This 1384-nucleotide ribosomal RNA is filed under the name Staphylococcus aureus. RNAcentral's name for it is "partial 23S ribosomal RNA". It matches the Rfam family "Bacterial large subunit ribosomal RNA", at positions 1469 to 2852 of the family's 2925-position model. Lineage: Bacteria; Bacillati; Bacillota; Bacilli; Caryophanales; Staphylococcaceae. The record is from RNAcentral.